UCAUCAGGAGGUUCAUCCUUACCUGUUCCUCCUCUCAGAGGGCAGAUAGAAAAUGUUGAUUGAGCCGGGCGGUGGUGGCGCACGCCUUUAUCAGCACUCGGGA
Molecule: small nucleolar RNA, 103 nt
Organism: Peromyscus leucopus (white-footed mouse)
Lineage: Eukaryota; Metazoa; Chordata; Mammalia; Rodentia; Cricetidae
Product: U8 small nucleolar RNA
Exons: 1
Source: RefSeq, a predicted model, not a curated record